UGAAACAAUACACUGGAACUGGUAUACAGACAUUUUAUUUUUUAACAAAUUUGUUCACAAAUAUUGUUUUAUUAUUCGUAAUAAUAAUGAAAUUAAUUCUAACUAGAAAACCUGCAAGCACCAUCAAAGAAAAUAACCAUAAAAUCCAAGAAACUUGAGACUGAGUGUAUCCUACAAAUAGACACACCACAAUUAGAAAAUAGAAUUUCAAUUGUAACCUUUUUUAAAUUAAUUUUUUUUUUUAAUAUAAAAAGCUAGUGCAAGUACAAUAUUUUACACAAAUUACAGAGUAUGCACGCAUAUGGUAACAAAACAAAAGAAGAAAGGUUUUCUCUUUUCCCCGAUACCAGCUCCUAACUAUCUAAAGCCUGUACGCACUUUGUGUGGUUUCAUAUUUUACUGAGUAAGGUACAAACCAUUUUCCCCUCUCCAAAGACCUCCACUUGAUACAGGCCAGAAUCGUCCGUGUACACAUCAUGGACAUACAAUACCUAGAUUUGGCUCAACAUACUUUCACAUUGACACUUUCUAACAUGGCUCCUGCAAUAUUUCACAUACAAUUUACAAUAUUCUCAAAAAAAUACCUUGAUUUAAACAUAUUAUCAUUGGGGCCCUGAGUUUCUCCUGAAUAAGUGAUCUGACCAGAGUUUUUCCUUUUCAAAGUCACAUGGUCAGGGAAAACUCAAACCCCUAGUCAUCUUGUCUGACUCUUCCUAUAUGCAAUAUAAACAUAUAGUUCACAUAUACAGCACCAGUAAAAGGUUUGGACAUACCUACUCAUUCAAGGGUUUUUCUUUAUUUGUACUAUUUUCUACAUUGUAGAAUAAUAGUUAAGACAUCAAAACUAUGAAAUAACACAUAUGGAAUCAUGUUGUAACCAAAAAAGUGUUAAACAAAUCCAAAUAUAUUUUAUAUUUGAUUCUUCAUAGUAGCCACCCUUUGCCUUGAUGACAGUUUUGCACACUCUUCACAUAGAAAAUAGUAAACAGAAAGAAAAACCCUUCAAUGAGUAGGUCCAACCAUUAUUAUCACACUGUGGCCAAUCUAGAGUUUCUUCAUCUAUGCCUUUUUCUGCCCAGUAUCAAGUGAGAAGAAACUUAAAAACAUCCUCGUCCUCCCCAAUGGAGGAAUUAAUCUCAUUACGACAACAUCCUCAACACCUGUAUACUAGGCCCUGGGACUAGAGCUCUGUCCAACAUCCCCACUAGCACACUAUUUAGAAUGAAGCAAAGUAUUGGGCAUGUAUCUUUAGUGGUAUGCUAGUAUUGACAUGGGAACAAAGCCUAGCUACUACUGCAAUGUCUUAACAUACAUUAGACCACUCCUUCCAUUGGAAUGACCUCUGUGGCUUCUUCCUAGCCCAAAGGCCAGCAGAUGGAGACAUUGAGUCAUUUUCAUCUUACCGUCCAAACGCAUUGUAUACAGCCGGCAAUAAAUGGCUAUCCUUCGUUGACCGGUUCGUACCUGAAACAUUCUCAAUUCAGGCUGCAGAGGCUUUGGUAUCCUCUUUAACUUUAUUUAAUGGCGGGAAAAAGGGGGGAAAUAUGCAUACCAUUUUCAACCACAAUGCUUGAGUGGCUAAAUGCUAAUCCCGGAUGUUGUGUCGUGUUCAGCCAAUCAAGUUGAAACUAUCAAAACAGGGUGCUGCAUUAGCAGCAUCGCAUUAGUGGAAACCAAGACUGUUUUCAGGGCAGACCUGGUUGUAGCUAGAUGUGUUUGAAUCGAGUCAGGGACAAUUUUUCCAUUUUAGCUAACCCUAACCCUUUUCCUAACCUUAACUUAAUUACCCUAACCUGCUACGUUAAUUCUCCUAACCUGCUGCAUAUGUUCUCCUAACCUGCUAUGAAAAGUCACUUCUGCUAGUCAAAACCGGCAGACCCGCCCUGAGAACAGAGUUGGUUUCCACUAAUGCGAUAAAGUGCUGCGUUAGGUUGGGGGGGCUGCUUCCUGCAACCUGAUUGGCUGAACGUGAUACACAACAUCCGGGACUAGUGUUUAGUCACUCUAGUGGUGUAAAAUGGUCAGCAUAUUUCCCCCUUCUUUUUCUGCCUUUCACCUAAUAAAGUUAAAGAGGAAACCGAAGCCUCUGCAGCCUGAAUGGAGAAUGUUUUAGGUACGAACCAGUCCACGAGGGAUACUAAUGUAUUGUCGGCUGCAUACAAUGCGUUUGGACAGUAAGAUGUUGCCAUCUGCCGGCCUUCUUCCCGUAUCCUCGUACAAUACAUUCUGUUUACCUGUUUUGAUUCGAUCAACAAAAUUAACUGGGGGAAAAUACACAUGAAAAACAACCACAACAGCAAAAAGAACCAGGAAGUUGUAAAUGCGUGCGUAACAAGUUGUAAUGAACACCCAUUGUUUUCUCUCCCCCUCAACACCAGUUAAGAGAUGACACUGUCCAACAGGGCAGUAGUAGGGAGUAGUGUGGUGUCAUGUCACUAGGCAGACACUAGGGGUAGCUCCUGUUUCUACCAUUCCAGAACUCACUGAUACAAACUCACCUCUUUGUUUUUAUUUUAGCCCCUUUUAUCAAACAUUGUCAGUUAGGUUGAGGAGUGGGGACAUAGGGGCUUUGUAUUUUUGUGUGAAAUAUUAUAUUACAGAAGUACAAUAUCUUGUAGAGCAUUCAUUGGCAGCAUUUAAAAAAAUCAUAGGACAUUUAUUUGCCUACUUCUUUAAGAUAUUUCAAGUCUUCUUUUCUUAUUUUCUUAAGAGGUGUGUUCUUACAGAUCUCAAAUACAUACACUGACAGUUUGGAUUGCUAUAGAGGUCUGUGACAGACACAGGUUGGUGGUGAUGGAGUACAUCAUCUAUAUAACAUGAGUUGGUUGUUGGUUGGUUCUGAUUGGCUCCGUCUCUCAUCAUGUCCAAGUUUGUCUUUGCCUGCCUUGCCAGUCCUUGUGUUGUGUCUCAGCUCUCUGUGUGACUUGCAGCCUGCAAUGCGGAUGCCACUCUCCGCUUACAUCUCCACAUAUGUCCAGUUUGACCAGCAGCCAACCAAAGGUCGACGGAGAGAGUCCAACUCCCAGACAUGUCUUUAGCCACAAGGCUGUGUGUUCUGACCAGUAGACAACAUUUACUGGACCUCAGCUGACAGAAGACCCUUUUCUGGGCUUCAGAGUGUGUAGGGGUCGAAGGUGAGAAGUCAGAGAGCACAGAACAGGCCGUAUCUCUGAGUGAGUGUCUGUCAGCUGGUCGUUAUAGAUAGAGUGGGAUAAAGAUAGAUGUGCUGAAUGAUGGCCCUUCACUGCAGGACCAGGACAACCGAUGCCUCCUCACUAAACGUCCACUCUAAGAGCACAUAGCCAUCUCCAGCAUAUAGCAGUACAAUAAGAAUCCUAAUCAAAAUAAUCCAUACAAUAAAUUAUAUUUAUAUAUUUCUUAUAUAAAUAUAAUAACAAAUUAUAGUAAUAACCCAUAUCGAACAGCCCACCACACCAACAUUAAAUCGGGGGGGCACGACGAUGGCGACUUAACCAUUUUGGUUAAUGGGCGUGUUGAAGUUUUCUAUGCCUGAGUUGGUUAUCCAGCGGUACGGACAUUUAUUGACAAGACGUCAAACAACAGUCAAGUUUCAACAAAGGAAUCCUGAUUGAAAUCUGUUCAGUUUAAACACAAAAAGGUGCCAAAACCAUUCUCUUUUCUUUUUUUUUGCCAAAAAAGAAACAAAAAUAAAACAACAACAUGGCAAUAAACAAUAAAAACAACAACACAUGUCUUUUCUUCUCAAAACGCUGAAGCUCACACCAACAUUCAUUAUAUUUGUCAUUUGUGCAAGAAGUAAAUAAGCAAAUAAAAAAAAGACAACAAGGUCAGCUGUGUGUGCUCCUCCAAUGAGGAAGCUUGUCACAAAGUCACAUGAAACAUUCCCCAAACAGACGUCCAAUCACGUCUCCUGACAGAGUCGAGUGCUACAAAGGAGACUAAGACAAGGAAAAGGUCCUAUUCCGAAAAGGUAGGUAAAUAAAGAAAGCAAAAGUAUUUUAUACAAUAGGACCAAACUGAACACAAAAAAGAGGGUGCGUCCAUGAGAAAGGUACUUCCUGGUUAUAAAGUGGAACCAGGAAACCCGCCUAGCGUCUUAACUCGUUGGACCCAAGAACGUGCCGGACGCUAGGCGGGAUGGAGCCAAUAGAGGAAACACUACUGUUUACAACACGGCCAUGUGCAAAAAACUGAAUCCAAACAGUCUCCCCAUCUCGUUUGUUUGUUUGUUUGUCUCUCUCUCUCUCUCUCUCUCUCUCUCUCUCUCUCUCUCUCUCUCUCUCUCUCUCUCUCUCUCUCUCUCUCUCUCUCUCUCUCUCUCUCUCUCUCUCUCUCUCUCUCUCUCUCUAUAUAUAUAUAUAUAUUGAAUGAAUGUUAUACCUCUGGGAAAGGCCUUGGUCUGAGAUGAGGGUUUAGACAAGACCUUUCCUCUGGGUUUAGAAAGUGCUGAAACAGUAUCAAGUCUACGCCGUUAGUCGGCUACUUUAAAUGUGCAUCUUUAUUGGUUGGUUUUACAAAAGUGGUCCCCACUAAUAUAUUAGGUUAUAAUAACUCUGUCAUCUGUCUUUUCUCUCUGGACCUUAUGAGGGUUAGGGCUAGUGAUCUCAAAGUCCAUAGGAGAGAACACCACACACACGCACACACGCACGCACACACACACACGCACACACACACACACACACACACACACACACACACACACACACACACACACACACACACACACACACACACACACACACACACACACACACACACACACAC
This 4746-nucleotide long non-coding RNA is filed under the name Salmo salar (Atlantic salmon). RNAcentral's name for it is "lncRNA (ENSSSAG00000103231.1)". Lineage: Eukaryota; Metazoa; Chordata; Actinopteri; Salmoniformes; Salmonidae. The record is from RNAcentral.